AAUCAACGCUGGCGGCGUGCCUCAGACAUGCAAGUCGAACGAUUAAAGCUCUCUUCGGAGAGUGUAUAGAGUGGCGCACGGGUGAGUAACACGUAAGUAAUCUACCCUCGAGUGGGGAAUAACGUCCGGAAACGGACGCUAAUACCGCAUAAUGCAGCGGCACCGCAAGGUGACAGUUGUUAAAGGAGUAAUUCGCUUGAGGAGGAGCUUGCGGCAGAUUAGCUGUUGGUAAGGUAACGGCUUACCAAGGCUACGAUCUGUAUCCGGUCUUAGAGGACGGUCGGACACACUGACACUGAAUAACGGGUCAGACUCCUACGGGAGGCAGCAGUCGGGAAUUUUGGGCAAUGGGCGAAAGCCUGACCCAGCAACGCCGCGUGAAGGAUGAAGUAUUUCGGUAUGUAAACUUCGAAAGAAUAGGAAGAAUUAAUGACGGUACUAUUUAUAAGGUCCGGCUAACUACGUGCCAGCCGCCGCCGUAAU
This 483-nucleotide ribosomal RNA is filed under the name uncultured bacterium. RNAcentral's name for it is "bacterial SSU rRNA". It matches the Rfam family "Bacterial small subunit ribosomal RNA", at positions 32 to 524 of the family's 1533-position model. The record is from RNAcentral.